RNAcentral lists this ribosomal RNA (253 nucleotides) under uncultured bacterium. RNAcentral's name for it is "partial 16S ribosomal RNA". It matches the Rfam family "Bacterial small subunit ribosomal RNA", at positions 524 to 776 of the family's 1533-position model. The record is from RNAcentral.
UACGGAGGGUGCAAGCGUUAAUCGGAAUUACUGGGCGUAAAGCGCGCGUAGGUGGUUUGCUAAGCCAGCUGUGAAAUCCCCGGGCUCAACCUGGGCACUGCAGUUGGAACUGGCAAGCUAGAGUAGGGUAGAGGGGUGUGGAAUUCCAGGUGUAGCGGUGAAAUGCGUAGAUAUCUGGAGGAACAUCAGUGGCGAAGGCGACACCCUGGACCAAUACUGACGAUCAGGUGCGAAAGCGUGGGGAGCAAACAGG